CUCCUACGGGUGGCUGCAGUAACGAAUAUUGGGCAAUGGGCGAAAGCCUGACCCAGCAAUGCCGCGUGCAGGAGGAAGCCCUUCGGGGUGUAAACUGCUGUCAGGGUUCAGCAAGCAAAGGGUGUUAAUAGCACCUGGCGUCGAGCAGACCCACAGGAAGCCUCGACUAACUCCGUGCCAGCAGUCGCGGUAAGGCGGAGGAGGCAAGCGUUGUUCGGAGUCACUGGGCUUAAAGCGGGUGUAGGCGGCUUGGAAAGUGUCGCGUGAAAUCCCACGGCUCAACCGUGGAACUGCGCGGCAAACUACCUGGCUUGAGGCCGGUAGAGGUGCCUGGAACUCUAGGUGGAGCGGUGAAAUGCGUAGAUAUCUAGAGGAACGCCAGAAGCGAAAGCGGGGCACUGGGCCGAUUCUGACGCUGAGACGCGAAAGCGUGGGGAGCAAACAGGAUUAGAUACCCUGGUAGUCCACGCCGUAAACGAUGCACACUAGACGUUGGGGCCUCUGACGGAACCGGCGUCGUAGCAAAAGUGCUAAGUGUGCCGCCUGGGGAGUACGGCCGCAAGGCUAAAACUCAAAGGAAUUGACGGGGGCUCACACAAGCGGUGGAG
Molecule: ribosomal RNA, 608 nt
Filed under: uncultured bacterium
Lineage: Bacteria
Description: bacterial SSU rRNA
Rfam family: Bacterial small subunit ribosomal RNA
Source: RNAcentral